UUUGAUCCUGGCUCAGGACGAACGCUGGCGGCGUGCCUAAUACAUGCAAGUCGAGCGCGUGAAACUUAUUGGAUCCCUUCGGGGUGAAAAUUUGUGGAUCGAGCGGCGGACGGGUGAGUAACACGUGGGCAACCUGCCUGUAAGUCUGGGAUAACCCCGGGAAACCGGAGCUAAUACCGGAUAAUCAUCAACACCACAUGGUGUUGAUGUGAAAGAUGGUUCUGCCAUCUCUUACAGAUGGGCCCGCGGCGCAUUAGCUAGUUGGUAGGGUAACGGCCUACCAAGGCGACGAUGCGUAGCCGACCUGAGAGGGUGAUCGGCCACACUGGGACUGAGACACGGCCCAGACUCCUACGGGAGGCAGCAGUAGGGAAUCUUCGGCAAUGGACGAAAGUCUGACCGAGCAACGCCGCGUGAGCGAUGAAGGUCUUCGGAUCGUAAAGCUCUGUUGUCAGAGAAGAACAAGUGAUAGAGGAAAUGCUAUCGCCUUGACGGUAUCUGACCAGAAAGCCCCGGCUAACUACGUGCCAGCAGCCGCGGUAAUACGUAGGGGGCAAGCGUUGUCCGGAAUUAUUGGGCGUAAAGCGCGCGCAGGCGGCUUCUUAAGUCUGAUGUGAAAGCCCACGGCUCAACCGUGGAGGGUCAUUGGAAACUGGGGAGCUUGAGUGCAGAAGAGGAGAGUGGAAUUCCACGUGUAGCGGUGAAAUGCGUAGAGAUGUGGAGGAACACCAGUGGCGAAAGCGGCUCUCUGGUCUGUAACUGACGCUGAGGCGCGAAAGCGUGGGGAGCAAACAGGAUUAGAUACCCUGGUAGUCCACGCCGUAAACGAUGAGUGCUAGGUGUUGGAGGGGCCACCCUUCAGUGCUGAAGUUAACACAUUAAGCACUCCGCCUGGGGAGUACGGCCGCAAGGCUGAAACUCAAAGGAAUUGACGGGGGCCCGCACAAGCAGUGGAGCAUGUGGUUUAAUUCGAAGCAACGCGAAGAACCUUACCAGGUCUCGACAUCCUCUGACACCCCUAGAGAUAGGGCGUUCCCCUUCGGGGGACAGAGUGACAGGUGGUGCAUGGUUGUCGUCAGCUCGUGUCGUGAGAUGUUGGGUUAAGUCCCGCAACGAGCGCACCCUUGAUCUUAGUUGCCAGCAUUCAGUUGGGCACUCUAAGGUGACUGCCGGUGACAAACCGGAGGAAGGUGGGGAUGACGUCAAAUCAUCAUGCCCCUUAUGACCUGGGCUACACACGUGCUACAAUGGGUGGUACAAAGGGCAGCGAAACCGCGAGGUCGAGCGAAUCCCAUAAAGCCACUCUCAGUUCGGAUUGCAGGCUGCAACUCGCCUGCAUGAAGCCGGAAUUGCUAGUAAUCGCGGAUCAGCAUGCCGCGGUGAAUACGUUCCCGGGCCUUGUACACACCGCCCGUCACACCACGAGAGUUUGUAACACCCGAAGUCGGUGAGGUAACCUUUUGGAACCAGCCGCCGAAGGUGGGACAAAUGAUUGGGGUGAAGUCGUAACAAGGUAGCCGUAUCGGAAGGGGCGGCUGGGCCACCU
RNAcentral lists this ribosomal RNA (1546 nucleotides) under Pullulanibacillus sp. 09M123. RNAcentral describes it as "bacterial SSU rRNA". It matches the Rfam family "Bacterial small subunit ribosomal RNA". Lineage: Bacteria; Bacillati; Bacillota; Bacilli; Caryophanales; Sporolactobacillaceae. The record is from RNAcentral.